GAUGAACGCUGGCGGCGUGCCUAAUACAUGCAAGUCGAACGCAGUGGGGACGGGUGAGUAACACGUGGGUAACCUCCCAUCAGAGGGGAUAACACUUGGAAACUGGCGCUAAACUGAUACUGAUGGAUGGACUCGAGGUGCAUUAGCCUGUGGGUGGGGUAACGGCCGACCAAGGCCACGAUGCAUAGCUGUGCUGAGAGGAGGAUCAGCCACACUGGAACUGGGACACGGCCCAGACUCCUACGGGAGGCAGCAGUGGGGAAUCUUCGACAAUGGACGAAAGUCUGACCGAGCAACGCCGCGUGGGUGAAGAAGGUUUUCGGGUCGUAAAGCUCUUUUGUUGGGGAAGCGUUAUCUACAGAGGAAGCAACGGCUAACUACGUGCCAGCAGCCGCGGUAAUAC
RNAcentral lists this ribosomal RNA (403 nucleotides) under uncultured bacterium. Its description in RNAcentral is "partial 16S ribosomal RNA". It matches the Rfam family "Bacterial small subunit ribosomal RNA", at positions 28 to 526 of the family's 1533-position model. The record is from RNAcentral.